AUUGAACGCUGGCGGCAUGCCUUACACAUGCAAGUCGAACGGUAACAGGUCUUCGGAUGCUGACGAGUGGCGAACGGGUGAGUAAUACAUCGGAACGUGCCUAGUAGUGGGGGAUAACUACUCGAAAGAGUGGCUAAUACCGCAUGAGAUCUACGGAUGAAAGCCGGGGAACGCACGACCUUGUGCUACUAGAGCGGCCGAUUGCAGAUUAGGUAGUUGGUGGGAUAAAAGCUUACCAAGCCGACGAUCUGUAGCUGGGCUGAGGGGACGAUCAGCCACACUGGGACUGAGACACGGCCCAGACUGCUACGGGAGGCAGCAGUGGGGAAUUUUGGACAAUGGGCGAAAGCCUGAUCCAGCAAUGCCGCGUGCAGGAUGAAGGCCUUCGGGUUGUAAACUGCUUUUGUACGGAACGAAAAGCCCCGGGUUAAUACCCUGGGGUCAUGACGGUACCGUAAGAAUAAGCACCGGCUAACUACGUGCCAGCCGCCGCAGUAA
This 498-nucleotide ribosomal RNA is filed under the name uncultured bacterium. RNAcentral describes it as "partial 16S ribosomal RNA". It matches the Rfam family "Bacterial small subunit ribosomal RNA", at positions 30 to 523 of the family's 1533-position model. The record is from RNAcentral.